RNAcentral lists this ribosomal RNA (2901 nucleotides) under Escherichia coli DEC7A. RNAcentral describes it as "bacterial LSU rRNA". It matches the Rfam family "Bacterial large subunit ribosomal RNA". The record is from RNAcentral. Lineage: Bacteria; Pseudomonadati; Pseudomonadota; Gammaproteobacteria; Enterobacterales; Enterobacteriaceae.
UUAAGCGACUAAGCGUACACGGUGGAUGCCCUGGCAGUCAGAGGCGAUGAAGGACGUGCUAAUCUGCGAUAAGCGUCGGUAAGGUGAUAUGAACCGUUAUAACCGGCGAUUUCCGAAUGGGGAAACCCAGUGUGAUUCGUCACACUAUCAUUAACUGAAUCCAUAGGUUAAUGAGGCGAACCGGGGGAACUGAAACAUCUAAGUACCCCGAGGAAAAGAAAUCAACCGAGAUUCCCCCAGUAGCGGCGAGCGAACGGGGAGCAGCCCAGAGCCUGAAUCAGUGUGUGUGUUAGUGGAAGCGUCUGGAAAGGCGCGCGAUACAGGGUGACAGCCCCGUACACAAAAAUGCACAUAUUGUGAGCUCGAUGAGUAGGGCGGGACACGUGGUAUCCUGUCUGAAUAUGGGGGGACCAUCCUCCAAGGCUAAAUACUCCUGACUGACCGAUAGUGAACCAGUACCGUGAGGGAAAGGCGAAAAGAACCCCGGCGAGGGGAGUGAAAAAGAACCUGAAACCGUGUACGUACAAGCAGUGGGAGCACGCUUAGGCGUGUGACUGCGUACCUUUUGUAUAAUGGGUCAGCGACUUAUAUUCUGUAGCAAGGUUAACCGAAUAGGGGAGCCGAAGGGAACCGAGUCUUAACUGGGCGUUAAGUUGCAGGGUAUAGACCCGAAACCCGGUGAUCUAGCCAUGGGCAGGUUGAAGGUUGGGUAACACUAACUGGAGGACCGAACCGACUAAUGUUGAAAAAUUAGCGGAUGACUUGUGGCUGGGGGUGAAAGGCCAAUCAAACCGGGAGAUAGCUGGUUCUCCCCGAAAGCUAUUUAGGUAGCGCCUCGUGAAUUCAUCUCCGGGGGUAGAGCACUGUUUCGGCAAGGGGGUCAUCCCGACUUACCAACCCGAUGCAAACUGCGAAUACCGGAGAAUGUUAUCACGGGAGACACACGGCGGGUGCUAACGUCCGUCGUGAAGAGGGAAACAACCCAGACCGCCAGCUAAGGUCCCAAAGUCAUGGUUAAGUGGGAAACGAUGUGGGAAGGCCCAGACAGCCAGGAUGUUGGCUUAGAAGCAGCCAUCAUUUAAAGAAAGCGUAAUAGCUCACUGGUCGAGUCGGCCUGCGCGGAAGAUGUAACGGGGCUAAACCAUGCACCGAAGCUGCGGCAGCGACGCUUAUGCGUUGUUGGGUAGGGGAGCGUUCUGUAAGCCUGUGAAGGUGUGCUGUGAGGCAUGCUGGAGGUAUCAGAAGUGCGAAUGCUGACAUAAGUAACGAUAAAGCGGGUGAAAAGCCCGCUCGCCGGAAGACCAAGGGUUCCUGUCCAACGUUAAUCGGGGCAGGGUGAGUCGACCCCUAAGGCGAGGCCGAAAGGCGUAGUCGAUGGGAAACAGGUUAAUAUUCCUGUACUUGGUGUUACUGCGAAGGGGGGACGGAGAAGGCUAUGUUGGCCGGGCGACGGUUGUCCCGGUUUAAGCGUGUAGGCUGGUUUUCCAGGCAAAUCCGGAAAAUCAAGGCUGAGGCGUGAUGACGAGGCACUACGGUGCUGAAGCAACAAAUGCCCUGCUUCCAGGAAAAGCCUCUAAGCAUCAGGUAACAUCAAAUCGUACCCCAAACCGACACAGGUGGUCAGGUAGAGAAUACCAAGGCGCUUGAGAGAACUCGGGUGAAGGAACUAGGCAAAAUGGUGCCGUAACUUCGGGAGAAGGCACGCUGAUAUGUAGGUGAAGCGACUUGCUCGUGGAGCUGAAAUCAGUCGAAGAUACCAGCUGGCUGCAACUGUUUAUUAAAAACACAGCACUGUGCAAACACGAAAGUGGACGUAUACGGUGUGACGCCUGCCCGGUGCCGGAAGGUUAAUUGAUGGGGUCAGCGCAAGCGAAGCUCUUGAUCGAAGCCCCGGUAAACGGCGGCCGUAACUAUAACGGUCCUAAGGUAGCGAAAUUCCUUGUCGGGUAAGUUCCGACCUGCACGAAUGGCGUAAUGAUGGCCAGGCUGUCUCCACCCGAGACUCAGUGAAAUUGAACUCGCUGUGAAGAUGCAGUGUACCCGCGGCAAGACGGAAAGACCCCGUGAACCUUUACUAUAGCUUGACACUGAACAUUGAGCCUUGAUGUGUAGGAUAGGUGGGAGGCUUUGAAGUGUGGACGCCAGUCUGCAUGGAGCCGACCUUGAAAUACCACCCUUUAAUGUUUGAUGUUCUAACGUUGACCCGUGAUCCGGGUUGCGGACAGUGUCUGGUGGGUAGUUUGACUGGGGCGGUCUCCUCCUAAAGAGUAACGGAGGAGCACGAAGGUUGGCUAAUCCUGGUCGGACAUCAGGAGGUUAGUGCAAUGGCAUAAGCCAGCUUGACUGCGAGCGUGACGGCGCGAGCAGGUGCGAAAGCAGGUCAUAGUGAUCCGGUGGUUCUGAAUGGAAGGGCCAUCGCUCAACGGAUAAAAGGUACUCCGGGGAUAACAGGCUGAUACCGCCCAAGAGUUCAUAUCGACGGCGGUGUUUGGCACCUCGAUGUCGGCUCAUCACAUCCUGGGGCUGAAGUAGGUCCCAAGGGUAUGGCUGUUCGCCAUUUAAAGUGGUACGCGAGCUGGGUUUAGAACGUCGUGAGACAGUUCGGUCCCUAUCUGCCGUGGGCGCUGGAGAACUGAGGGGGGCUGCUCCUAGUACGAGAGGACCGGAGUGGACGCAUCACUGGUGUUCGGGUUGUCAUGCCAAUGGCACUGCCCGGUAGCUAAAUGCGGAAGAGAUAAGUGCUGAAAGCAUCUAAGCACGAAACUUGCCCCGAGAUGAGUUCUCCCUGACUCCUUGAGAGUCCUGAAGGAACGUUGAAGACGACGACGUUGAUAGGCCGGGUGUGUAAGCGCAGCGAUGCGUUGAGCUAACCGGUACUAAUGAACCGUGAGGCUUAACCUU